AAGUCAUUGUACGUGAGCCAAAAUGAAAUUUCCAUAAGGGUAAUUUGCAGGCCACACCCUUUGACCAUGUUUUAUUUUCAAGGAUUGGCAAAGUGAAAGGUGGUUUUCACGUUUUGUCUUUUCAGCUGAAAUUUGACCAUUUUGCCCUUACUGCUGCAGUAGAGAAACUGUUGAAUGUACGGUUUAUUUAGUCAGGUUUAGUUAGGUACACUAUUCCGGUUUAGUUAUAAUAUUAUAAAAUUAUUGAUAAUAAUUGGUGAGUUAAAGAUGAACCCAGGAACAAACAUUAAUUGCGAACAAACAUUGAUGCUCAAGAAGUGUUGAUCUUUUUUAUUUACGAAGUUUGGAGUCAAGAUAAGCAUUAUCGUGUAAGUAAUGAAGUUUUAAAGAAUUUUUUUGUUAUAACAUACUAUGAUCUUCAUUGUGUUCAAAAUCAACUUUGUUUUUUAUAGA
This 453-nucleotide small RNA is filed under the name Arabidopsis thaliana (thale cress). Its description in RNAcentral is "ATSL289570". Lineage: Eukaryota; Viridiplantae; Streptophyta; Magnoliopsida; Brassicales; Brassicaceae. The record is from RNAcentral.